UUUGCUUCCCCUCCCUCUCGGCAUGCAUACAUCUCACAAUCACCUUCUUGGUGCAGAGAGUGACUUCUCUGUUUGUACCACUGACAGUGCCUUCAGACUUACCUGUCUGGCUUCUCUGUGCUACAACAUCAUGUAGAGUCACAUUCAACCCCCAGAUAAUAUUAUGAAGACUAAGAAGUUUACACGGAGGAGAGAGAUAAAUUUAUGGAAAAAAAAGCUUAAGAGGAUGGCUGAAAACACAGACAUCACCUGUGGCUCAGAAAGACGCCAAGCUGCAAGCUGUUGAAGGCUGGAAUAACAUUUUGGCAAAUGAUUGUUGCAUGCUUCCUCUGUUCCCUGUGGAUGUACCUCUGGACAUUUUCUGAGGAAGGAUACUGAGCUAGACAAACCCUUGAUCUGACCCACUCAUCUGGGCUGAAGUGCGUUCGUGCAAAUAACGCAAAGGAACAGAACAAAUGAAAGAACCAGGCUCGGCCGCUCUGCCCGUUGAGCACAGCUGUGUUUCAAUGGUACAAACCUUAUUAAAAAUGUCACAUUUGAUGUCUGCAAUGCUCUUCUGAGUUCCUACUGAAAAGGAAACUGGACUCCUUCCAAAGUCAGGCACUUUGUGCAUUGCUGUGCAACAAUGAAAAAGCCAUUUGGGGUCAGCAGUAACAGUAAAAUGAAUGGACAGCAAAGCAGUGCCUCAUUACUCAGCUUGACUGAAGACAGAAGAAUAUUUGAUGAUCACUUUUAUAUUCUGUCUCUGAAGCUGACCACAAUUAAGCUGAGUCAAAAUGUUGAUGGCUACUGGGAUGCCACUGAGAUUCAAAUGUUAUGUAGAAUCCCCUGGUAUGUGAAGACCCAGCAACAUAUUUCUAUGGUCUAAUUAAAAACAAUUACAGAAAUGUAAUGAACACUGUGUUAGUGCAAAAUAUGGUCCUAACAAGAGAAGAUGGAACACUUGUGAGAGCUGAAAAAAUGCCCAGCUGGCUGAAGGAUCAAAAGGUCAAACAUAUUUCACCAUUGUUUGCAGUUUCCUUCAGGAAUUAUAAACAGAAGGAUCUUUGAGAAACUUAAGCAAGAAAAAUAGCUACAGCAGCACC
Molecule: long non-coding RNA, 1085 nt
Organism: Passer domesticus (house sparrow)
Lineage: Eukaryota; Metazoa; Chordata; Aves; Passeriformes; Passeridae
Exons: 3
Source: RefSeq, a predicted model, not a curated record